This is a long non-coding RNA of Alosa sapidissima (American shad), 516 nucleotides long. RefSeq lists it as uncharacterized. The record is from RefSeq and is a predicted model, not a curated record. Lineage: Eukaryota; Metazoa; Chordata; Actinopteri; Clupeiformes; Clupeidae. The transcript is spliced from 3 exons.
UAUGUUUCUGUGAACUAGAAUAAAAAAUAAAUCAUAAAUGUAAUGUUCAGGGGUAAGCGUGUCUAAUACCUAAGCGGGUGUCCCUUAUGACUUAGAACAAUGCAUCUUUUUUGCCAAAAUUUGGGAUGGGGGUGAAAUGAGGUAUAAAACUUGGGGGUUCUGGAAAUAUUCAAAUCUGACAUCAUCUAUCACCGUGAAUCGUCCUACUGCAGAGGCAUUUGUGAAGCGAUUCAUCAUGGCUGAGCGACCUGACCAGGCAAGUAUGUAAAUUGUAGUUUUUUCAUUUUCUACUAUAUCGUUGUAUUAUCUCUGAUUUAAUACAUGUUCUUUUUUGUUUGUGUUGUUAGUAUGAGUUGGAAUAUCUACGGUUCCUGCAAAUCCGAAGUACCUCAUCUGACAGCGGCUUUAGCGGUGACAACUACAGCCCGGCAUCUCCGAGCCCAAGCUUUUACCCCGAAGAUCCCGAUGUUGUCCAGAGGGGUCGUCCGAAUUCACCAACCCUGAGCAUGUACCAAG